AUGGCGACCGGCGCACGGGUGAGUAACACGUAUCCAACCUGCCGAUGACUCGGGGAUAGCCUUUCGAAAGAAAGAUUAAUACCCGAUGGCAUAGUUCUUCCGCAUGGUAGAACUAUUAAAGAAUUUCGGUCAUCGAUGGGGAUGCGUUCCAUUAGGUUGUUGGCGGGGUAACGGCCCACCUAGUCAACGAUGGAUAGGGGUUCUGAGAGGAAGGUCCCCCACAUUGGAACUGAGACACGGUCCAA
RNAcentral lists this ribosomal RNA (245 nucleotides) under uncultured bacterium. RNAcentral's name for it is "partial 16S ribosomal RNA". It matches the Rfam family "Bacterial small subunit ribosomal RNA", at positions 88 to 334 of the family's 1533-position model. The record is from RNAcentral.